GUGGGGAAUAUUGGACAAUGGGCGAAAGCCUGAUCCAGCCAUGCCGCGUGUGUGAAGAAGGUCUUCGGAUUGUAAAGCACUUUAAGUUGGGAGGAAGGGCAGUAAGUUAAUACCUUGCUGUUUUGACGUUACCGACAGAAUAAGCACCGGCUAACUUCGUGCCAGCAGCCGCGGUAAUACGAAGGGUGCAAGCGUUAAUCGGAAUUACUGGGAGUAAAGCGCGCGUAGGUGGUUCAGUAAGUUGGAAGUGAAAUCCCCGGGCUCAACCUGGGAACUGCCUCCAAAACUACUGAGCUAGAGUACGGUAGAGGGUAGUGGAAUUUCCUGUGUAGCGGUGAAAUGCGUAGAUAUAGGAAGGAACACCAGUGGCGAAGGCGACUACCUGGACUGAUACUGACACUGAGGUGCGAAAGCGUGGGGAGCAAACAGGAUUAGAAACCCUGGUAGUCC
Molecule: ribosomal RNA, 450 nt
Filed under: uncultured bacterium
Lineage: Bacteria
Description: partial 16S ribosomal RNA
Rfam family: Bacterial small subunit ribosomal RNA
Source: RNAcentral